This 468-nucleotide ribosomal RNA is filed under the name uncultured bacterium. Its description in RNAcentral is "partial 16S ribosomal RNA". It matches the Rfam family "Bacterial small subunit ribosomal RNA", at positions 28 to 507 of the family's 1533-position model. The record is from RNAcentral.
GACGAACGCUGGCGGCGUGCUUAACACAUGCAAGUCGAACGGAAAGGCCCUGCUUUUGUGGGGUGCUCGAGUGGCGAACGGGUGAGUAACACGUGAGUAACCUGCCCUUGACUUUGGGAUAACUUCAGGAAACUGGGGCUAAUACCGGAUAGGAGCUCCUGCUGCAUGGUGGGGGUUGGAAAGUUUCGGCGGUUGGGGAUGGACUCGCGGCUUAUCAGCUUGUUGGUGGGGUAGUGGCUUACCAAGGCUUUGACGGGUAGCCGGCCUGAGAGGGUGACCGGCCACAUUGGGACUGAGAUACGGCCCAGACUCCUACGGGAGGCAGCAGUGGGGAAUAUUGCACAAUGGGCGGAAGCCUGAUGCAGCAACGCCGCGUGCGGGAUGACGGCCUUCGGGUUGCAAACCGCUUUCGCCUGUGACGAAGCGUGAGUGGCGGUAAUGGGUAAAGAAGCACCGGCUAACUACGUG